GAUGAACGCUAGCGACAGGCCUAACACAUGCAAGUCGAGGGGCAGCGGGGGAGUAGCAAUACUCCUGCCGGCGACCGGCGCACGGGUGAGUAACACGUAUGGAACCUGCCCGCCACAGGGGGAUAAGCGGAAGAAAUUCCGUCUAAUACCGCAUAACGUCCUGCCGGGGCAUCCCGGCGGGACCAAAGGGUAACACCGGUGACGGAUGGCCAUGCGCCGCAUUAGCUGGUUGGCGGGGUAACGGCCCACCAAGGCGACGAUCAGUAGCCGGCCUGAGAGGGUGGACGGCCACAUUGGGACUGAGACACGGCCCAA
Molecule: ribosomal RNA, 315 nt
Filed under: uncultured bacterium
Lineage: Bacteria
Description: bacterial SSU rRNA
Rfam family: Bacterial small subunit ribosomal RNA
Source: RNAcentral